UGUGCCUUUUCCCGAAACGCACGCGAUAGAGUCCGUCCGUCCGGGGCGACAACGGCCGGCCGGCCGGCGGCAGUCGGCGAGACGCGCACAAAGAAAAUAAUAUUAUGAAAUAUUAUUAAAAGACAAAAAGAAACCAUUUAUACAUAAACAACCGCCUUCGCGGCAAUCCGAACCGGACCGACGAAAACUAUACCCGUGACCGAUGAUUGUUGGCCAAAAGUUAUAUUGAUCCGGACAAAAUGAUGCUGGCCCAGCGCUAUGCCACGGUUUAUGGCGUACCUAUCCGAUGAAAUUGUUGGAGACUCUUUCAAACUGGGCAAUCUGAUAAACGGUGACGUGAUCGUUACUUCGCGGCCAUCAUAGAGUAGACCAGAAUACACAAAAUGUAGGUCAUCGGGCUGUCGGCUGUAUGUAUGAUAAAGUCCUGGAAGUGGGAAUUACAAUAGCCCCUAAAAUGCUGUUACACCUCAACCUUAAUAAAAACAAAGAAUGAUUAAAAAAUGGCAACGGAAUUGGCCAACAAAUCUGAAAAUAAGUUUAUGGACAGAUAACUUCUCAACGUAAUAUUAUGACCGAUCCAAUAAUAACUUUCCAUAGGUACAUCAGACCUAUGUGCGACGGCUGCUCACCAACGUAUCGACAUCCACCAGGUAACUUUGACGUUUUCAACUCACAGUUAUGCAGAUGGAUGUCGACCGGUUUGGGAGCGACGUCUGAUACGCCAUUGUUCUAAUGAAUUCAAACAUAAAUAAAAUAUUAUUAUAAUAUUUUUAUAUGUAUAUAGGUACGGUUAGGUAUAUUAAAUUAAUUAAGUAGAUACUAUAUUAAUAUAGUCUAUUAAUUAUUUUUUUACUAUGCUUUUAUUGUAUUAAAAUAUACACAAUGACUUAUAACUUACAUUAUUGGACCGGACAUACAGCAACGUCGAGUUAAGGUACCUGUCCAUAAACACAUUUUCAUCAGCAAAAUAUAAUAUAAAAUAUAAAGUAAAGAAAU
Molecule: long non-coding RNA, 996 nt
Organism: Metopolophium dirhodum (rose-grain aphid)
Lineage: Eukaryota; Metazoa; Arthropoda; Insecta; Hemiptera; Aphididae
Exons: 3
Source: RefSeq, a predicted model, not a curated record